AUUGAACGCUGGCGGCAUGCUUUACACAUGCAAGUCGAGCGGCAGCGCGGGGGCAACCCUGGCGGCGAGCGGCGAACGGGUGAGGAAUUCAUCGGAACGUACCCCGGAGUGGGGGAUAACGCCGCGAAAGCGGCGCUAAUACCGCAUAUGCUCUGUGGAGGAAAGUGGGGGACCCUGUAAGGGGCCUCACGCUCUGGGCGCGGCCGAUGUCCGAUUAGCUAGUUGGGGGGUAAUGGCUCACCAAGGCGACGAUCGGUAGCUGGUCUGAGAGGAUGAUCAGCCACACUGGGACUGAGACACGGCCCAGACUCCUACGGGAGGCAGCAGUGGGGAAUUUUGGACAAUGGGGCAACCCUGAUCCAGCCAUGCCGCGUGCGGGAAGAAGGCCUCGGUUGUAA
RNAcentral lists this ribosomal RNA (398 nucleotides) under uncultured bacterium. RNAcentral's name for it is "bacterial SSU rRNA". It matches the Rfam family "Bacterial small subunit ribosomal RNA", at positions 28 to 428 of the family's 1533-position model. The record is from RNAcentral.